This 268-nucleotide unclassified non-coding RNA is filed under the name Hevea brasiliensis (rubber tree). The record is from RNAcentral. Lineage: Eukaryota; Viridiplantae; Streptophyta; Magnoliopsida; Malpighiales; Euphorbiaceae.
AUAUUUGUUUCUUGUGCUCUGAUUAAUAUGUACAGUAAGCGUGGUAGAAUUGGUGCUCAUUGCAUCUUUGUUGAAAUGCCAGAGAAAUCUACAGUUGGGUGGAAUACUAUGGUCAAUGCUCCUUGCAGGUUAUGCACUUCAUCACUACAGUGAAGAAGCUUUGGAUUUGUAUGUACUAUGAUGUGUGAUUCUGGUGUUAGAAUGGACCAUCUCAGAUUUUCUGUAAUGGUGAGAAUAUGUGCAUUGUGCAAGAUUAGCUUCUUUGGAU